This is a non-coding RNA of Acanthosepion pharaonis, 107 nucleotides long. The record is from the annotation of a GenBank genome assembly. NCBI's taxonomy places the organism in Eukaryota, Metazoa, Mollusca, Cephalopoda, Sepiida, Sepiidae.
UAUGGUCAUGCCACACUGAAAUACCAGUUCUCAUACGAUCACUGAAGUUAAGCAACAUUGAGCCUGGUCAGUAUCAUGAGGGUGAUUGCUUAUGAAUAUCAGAUGCU